UGGGCAACCUGCCCCUCUCUCUGGGAUAACCCCGGGAAACCGGAGCUAAUACCGGAUACUCCGGCUGGAUCGCAUGGUCCGGCCGGGAAAGGUCCGCCGGAGAGGGAUGGGCCCGCGGCCUAUCAGCUUGUUGGUGGGGUCAUGGCUCACCAAGGCGACGACGGGUAGCUGGUCUGAGAGGACGACCAGCCACACUGGAACUGAGAUACGGUCCAGACUCCGUACGGGAGCA
This 232-nucleotide ribosomal RNA is filed under the name uncultured bacterium. Its description in RNAcentral is "partial 16S ribosomal RNA". It matches the Rfam family "Bacterial small subunit ribosomal RNA", at positions 118 to 347 of the family's 1533-position model. The record is from RNAcentral.